Molecule: non-coding RNA, 3091 nt
Organism: Camellia sinensis
Lineage: Eukaryota; Viridiplantae; Streptophyta; Magnoliopsida; Ericales; Theaceae
Source: RefSeq, a predicted model, not a curated record
CAGCAACAUCUAGCCAUAGCAACAUCAAGCAGCAACAACACCACCUGUACUUUAAACAUUAUUUGACCUGAUUUGCUGGAAGUUGCAGAUCUUGGACUAAAUAAGAACACCCCUUCCCAUGAGCAUUGAUCCAAAAUGCCACUCUCGCCAUAAUCAACUCACUGAAGUCAGCGAGGCAAAAAAGGUAUCCAGUGCGUCCCUCAUUGGUCGUCAUGUGAUGAUGUAAAUAGUCCAAGCUUUAACAACUUUUUUUUUUUGGUUAUUUUUUCUGGGUUUCCAAUUGUACCAUCAUGAAUUUGAUAUACCUAACAAACAAAGAAAGUGAUUCCAACUUUCAAAAAAUUAUAAAAUGGGACCUAUUUAAGCUUCCAAACAAUUUGUAAAAUGGGACUUUACAGAUUAACAAAGAUGUCAUGGGAACAAGUUAAUGCCAUGGGAUUUUCACUAAUUUUCCCUUAAAACAUGGAGAGGGAUGGAAAAGAUCACUUCGAAGAUUCAUUUCAAAAUUGACAUUAGAGAAUAGAAUUUUAAAUCCUAUUAUUUUCUCUUUUUUUCCGCCUCAUCCUUCCCUUUCCCUUUUUUGAGAUCAAAUUGGCUUUUAGCAAAUAGAAUUUUGGUAUUUGGUGCCACAGAACAUAACGUGCUACAUCUUAACUCUCAGUGUGCUUGUACUUGGAUUUUCUGUUAUUAAGUCAUUUGGACAUGUGCUUCCUUAAGUGUGCUAGGUUUUACCAAAAUGGUUUGAACUUUAAAGACCAAUUCUUGGUUUCAGUUUGAUUAAUGUUUCCUCAAAGAAUAGCUCCAGGAUAUUAAAAUUGUUGCCAACAUUAUCUUGGGAUUAUGUUCUGGUAAUUGAAUGUGCAUUUAAGUUAUAAGUUAUAAAAUUUAGUUUUGCGAAAAUUGCUGGACCUAGUUGUUGCAUGUGCAUGCUUCUAUGAUUUUGUGGCCUAGUAAUCUAGUUUGUCUUCUUUUUUUUCUGUCUUUUGGCUUGGUCAAGUGUCCUAUGCUUUCUCAUAUUACAUUUGUGUGAAAAGUUUAAGGAUCGUUUCUUCCCAAAUGAUUUUCUAGUAUUACUUGGCCUUCUUUUUUCCUUUUAUUUUUUCUGAGAAACUUAUCUUCUGAUGCGAGUUUCAACUUGUGCAAAACCCUUGGAUGUUUUAGAUGUAAGUAGUUUUACAAAAGCUCCUUGAGUUUAUGUUCUCCAAUUGUUGUCUGGUUCGUCUUCGGAGUUACCAGCUUAUUUGGUUUUGUUUUUUAUCUUAACCCCUAUAUUUUAUUGUUAUUAUUAUCAAGCAAAAAUUAAAUGAUGGAAAUAAGAAGUAGAUGUUCUUCAACACAUGAAAUUAGAGAAAACAUGAGACGAUAGUAACAGUCCCCAUCAAGUCAUUAGCUGCAACUAGUGUGUGCUUGUGUUAUUGCGUCAAUUGAAUAAAACUAAUCAGUACAUUGCUUUUAUUGCAUUCAUAGUAUAUAUCUCUCUCAAAUAAGGAGAGGGAUAUUGUUUUUAUUACUUUAAUGGGACCAAUGUAGUCUGAUAGGGUGACCUUUAUAACCCUUCACAAUACCAAUUCAUACUCCAAAAAUUGUGUGUGUGUGUGUGUGGUUAAAUUCCUUAUUCAAUAUGUUGUUGUUAGUGGUUUAUGCUAAUAUGUUUGCCUCUAUGUUGUUUCCAUAGAAAUAAGCUUGACAACUAAGCAGUGGUAAAUCUUCAAGAAGAAUGUACCUGCAAUAGAGAACGCUAUUCGAAAGAUGGAAUCAUGAUAAUAUAUAACAAUACACAAUGAGCGAAGGAAGCAACAAACCUUGCAUACACAAACAAUUUACACCAGCAUUCUUCUUCUACAACGAAGAUGAAAACAAAAGCAUGCAAGAAGCACAAAUAACAGUUACCGACACGGUUUGCACAUUGCCUACCUACCACAUACUGUUUGCAUAUUUUAUCUUAUCUUUAUCUUUUAUGUUCUACUUGCAUCACUUAUAUUUACUUUUGAGGCAAUGUAGAUGAAGAAGGACAUAUGAUAUCAAUGAAGAACCCAAUAGAAGAAAGAUAUGGAGUACAAAGAGAUGGACAGGUGGACUGUUGAUAAGCAAGCCAAGUUAGAAGGUCCCCUUCCCAUAAAACCAAGAAAGUGGCAUUUCCAAAUGUGAAUUGCCUUGAGAUCAAUUGUUAAAAUAAUAAAAAGAUUGAGCAUGGAACAACGUGAUGCAGUUGCUAGUAGUGGGUUAGGGGGCCUUUUGAAUCUCAGAUGUACAAAGCUUGAUUAUGACCUCUGCGGAUGGUUGGUUUAGAAAUUUGAUCCCAAAACUUGUUCGUUGAAUGUUCAUGGGCGACGACUCCUCUUUACUGAACUAGACGUUCACAAGUUAUUGGGUAUUCCUACCCGAAGGCAAAACCAUAGAACUGAAAAAAUCUUCACAAGCAUUUCCCAAGCUAUUUGAAGAACUUAGGGUUGUCCAAGGAGCUAUUAAACUAAAUGCUUUGCGAGAGUAUUUGACCAAAAUAGAGGGAGCUGGAGAGGAAUUUACAAGGAUAUUUGCACUAUACAUAUUAGGUGCCUUCUUAUGCCCAACCACAAAGGUUGUUGUUAAACAAUCAUUCAUUUACCUCGUUCAGAAUAUGGAUGGCAUGAAGGAUUAUAAUUGGGCAAAGUUCACUCUUCAAUUCUUUGUUCAUGGUUUAUGCAAGUACAAUUCAAAAGUCACUCACAACCAAAUGGAUGCUUAUUUCUUAUAAUGUUGUUUUACUUUGAUCGUGUUGCUCCUACUGGUUGUGAUGUUGCUCAUGCUCGCUCGGUUCCCUAUUUGGCUGAUUGGGGUGAUGCAGAAAUAAAGGCGACACUGAAACUAUUCCAAAAUUCAGUAGGUUACCAGAAUGAGGAGGUCAUCCUUAGCGUAUCCUUUCUUUUAUGUUUGGUUUUUGUUUGUUAUUUUUCAUGUUGAAAUGGAAAACUAAAUUGUGUACUAUGUGCCUGUAAAUAGGUUGAUGUUAAUUUCGUAAUUGACGAGCAAAUACAACCAUUUGUACAAAGCGAGGAAAUGAACAAUAUCAAUGAUGUUCGGAUUUCAAAAAUUGAGACGACUGUUUGUGAUA